GUUUGUUUCACUGUUUGUUUUAAUGUAUCUUUAAUGUCUUUGUUUAUAUUUAGUUAUUGUUUUUUUUAAUAAUACAAAGCCCAGUACAACUAGUUACUUUUAAUGGUGCAUUACUACCAUUAUUAACAUACACAUAUUAACAUACAAGAAUAGACAGGUUUUUUCAUGCUAAGCAGGUUUAGAUAAGGAGGAUUGUGGAAAACACUUUUUUAUACUGUUUACUACAUAAUUCCAUAAUGUGUCCCUUAACUGUUUUUAUGUCUUUAAUAUCAAUAUACAAUGUAGAAAAUAAAUAAAGAAAAUUUGAAAAAAAAAUGAAAAGAUGACUACAACCUCAGCUCAAAUUGAAAAAAAAAAUUGUUUAGAAGGGGCAUUGGGUGAUGUAUGGGUUUAGGGGCGGGGCAGGAGGGAGAGCUGAUUGGGCUGAGCAGUGUGCCUCUGAUAGCUGGGAGAGGCACGGAAACAUCAUCCUUGCCUAUAGCGCAGUUAAACCUGUGCGGACAAAUUACCACAAUAAAAGCAUUUUUUUAAAGAAGUCCUUCGCCGGUGUGAGUGGAGAGAGUUGCAGCUGCCUAAAACAACCCUUUUCAGCUUUUAAGACCUCGAAAUGUAAGUUUUUAAGGCUCGUGCAUGCCUGUUUUUUUUACAUCAGACCUUUAUAAACACGUUUAGGCUUGAUUUAGUCCAUGCAUUUUGCUUGUUUUGGCGUUUAAAGUUUGUAGAAUGGGACAAAAGAAUGCAAUACAGUGCAGUGCAGUGUAGUAGUUAGAGUGGCGCGUGCGUGCGAGGCUGAGUGCAUUCAGUGCACCGGGUGCAAUGCUUUUUAAUUCAUUUUUAUUUAAACCUUAUUUUUUGCAUUUUGCAUUAUAUCUGCCCAUGCAUUUGAGCUGUAAUGGCAUGUUGCUUCUUGUGCAUCAUAAAAUGCACUGGCUCCAGUGCUUGAAGUUAGCUAGUUAGCUUUUGUUGCUAGCAUUUCUUAUAUAAGUUACCAAGAUACAUUGCUAGGCUAGGUCAUCUAGUAAAUUUAGCAAGCUAAAUGCAAUGCAAACAUAAUAUGAACAGCUGCUAGCUUUUGUCUGACUAUUGCAUUGUUACAAUUACAAUUAGUUAUAUAGCUAAUGCUAAUGCUAGGGUGGCUAAUAUAGGCUAUCUAGGUCAUUAUCUUGUCCCCUAGCUCAGAAGUUAGCUUGCUAUACAGCAUUUAUAUUAGGAUAGCAUGGCCUUUAUCUGCUCAGAGAAGUCUCCAGCGUUUGUGGUGGACGUGUCCACUUAUCUAGCUAUCUCCUUUCCACACAAUCAGCUUAUUUCAGCGCCCUGAAAUUCUGCUUUGUCAUCCUGCCAGCUGAUAUCAGGGGAGCACGACCCCACCAAGGGGCGUGUUUACUUUCUUAGAAAUGUUCCCAACGACUGACUGACUGAUUCACCCAACUGAUCUAUAGUUACUGUCCAUUGUUGGAGAGCAGCAGAAGAUAUACUACCUAAAAAUGAUGAGUUUCUUUGAUUUUACCAAAUUAAAAAACCCAGGAAUAUAAUCAAGAGGAAGAUGGAUGAUCACAAGCCAUCAAACCAAACUGAACUGCUUGAAUUUUUGCACCAGGAGUGAUUGGCAUAAAGUUAUCCAAAAGAAGUGUGUAAGACUGGUGGAGAACAUGCCAAGAUGCA
RNAcentral lists this long non-coding RNA (1662 nucleotides) under Astyanax mexicanus (Mexican tetra). RNAcentral describes it as "lncRNA (ENSAMXG00005001738.1)". Lineage: Eukaryota; Metazoa; Chordata; Actinopteri; Characiformes; Acestrorhamphidae. The record is from RNAcentral.